Molecule: ribosomal RNA, 468 nt
Filed under: uncultured bacterium
Lineage: Bacteria
Description: partial 16S ribosomal RNA
Rfam family: Bacterial small subunit ribosomal RNA
Source: RNAcentral
GACGAACGCUGGCGGCGUGCUUAACACAUGCAAGUCGAACGGAAAGGCCCUGCUAUUGUGGGGUGCUCGAGUGGCGAACGGGUGAGUAACACGUGAGUAACCUCCCCUUGACUUUGGGAUAACUUCAGGAAACUGGGGCUAAUACCGGAUAGGAGCUCCUGCUGCAUGGUGGGGGUUGGAAAGUUUCGGCGGUUGUGGAUGGACUCGCGGCUUAUCAGCUUGUUAGUGGGGUAGUGGCUUACCAAGGCUUCGACGGGUAGCCGGCCUGAGAGGGUGACCGGCCACAUUGGGCCUGAGAUACGGCCCAGACUCCUACGGGAGGCAGCAGUGGGGAACAUUGCACAAUGGGCGGAAGCCAGAUGCAGCAAUGUCGCGUGCGGGAUGACGGCCUUCGGGUUGUAAACCGCUGUCGCCGGUGACGAAGCGUGAGUGACGGUACUGGGUAAAGAAGCACCGGCUAACUACGUG